Long non-coding RNA from Xiphophorus couchianus (Monterrey platyfish), 1236 nucleotides. RefSeq lists it as uncharacterized. The record is from RefSeq and is a predicted model, not a curated record. The transcript is spliced from 2 exons. NCBI's taxonomy places the organism in Eukaryota, Metazoa, Chordata, Actinopteri, Cyprinodontiformes, Poeciliidae.
AUAUAGCACAAACUGCUAUGGUUCAACAUAACAAUGCCUCUGAAUGUUCUUGAAGCUGUUCUCCAGGAGGUGAUACCGGCACAGGGAGACUCAGCUUACCUCACCUUGGCAUUGACCUGCAAGUGCUUUGAAGCCCUUGUGUCUGAGCCAGUUUUCAGGAAGAAGACUCACUUUGACUUUUUUCACCUAAAACAUGUGAAAUUAGAUUUCAACUACAUGAAAUCGAUUUUUCAUUAACAGGUGAGAUCAACUGGGGCAAAUUUUCAAAAACAUUCAAGGCAGAAAACCGGAUUCCUUUUGCGGUUGUAACGUGUUUUUCCUGCCACCGGUAAUAUAAAGACUGUGGGCUUCACCAGCGAUGGAAGACGAGGAGAGUACCCUGGUUACUACUGUGAUGGCCGACCUGGACACAGCACUGACUGUCAAUACUGAAUGAGAAUAUUAGUUGCUUUCCACAGUCUUUCACACAUUUCAGUUGUCACACAUUGUUCGUUUUUUUUGUGACAAGCCAUUUUAAAUCAUUUCUGCUAAAGAAUAUUUGCCUUUUGACUUGUGCAGUCAUCCUUUUUAAUAAUGUGUUCUUUCAAUAUUAUUUACAUUUUUGAAUGUUCCUUUUGUUGUAGCUCAGUUGAUUUACAUUAUUUAGUUUUCAUAGAAAUGGUGCCGUUUCCACACAAAGUUACAUUGUGGCUGUAAUUUGUUGGAGAGAGUAGAACCAAUAAAGUAGUUGUAAAUAUAUUGUAACAGCGUUGUUUAACAAUAGGAUAACCUUGUUUUAAAAAUUUUAAAUGCUAAUAACUUGCAAUAUUUUAUAUGUGUAAAUACAAUGUUUCCUAUACUUUUUGAACAAUGACUGGAAUCAAUACAAAUUUUUUUUACAAACCUGACAUACAGCUAAGUUGUUUAUGUUUUAACAGUCAGAAUCAACUUGGGGUUUUUUUGUAAUAAAGCAAGCACAUACAGAAACAUAUUGUUCAGAUACAAACAAGAUUAAACGAGCAGAGCGAAGGUGUAGUCGGGGUGGAGGUGAUGGAAGCUCAGAUGAGGAGCAGUUGCACACAUCAAGCCGGACUUUAUGAAGGGUGGAGGAGAUGAGCCCGGCGCCGUUAGACUGGGAUGGAGACACAUGAUCAGGUGAUUGGCUGAGCAGGUGAGAUGAAGACAGUUAUAGUUAGAAUUUACACAUUGGUUUAAUUUAUGUAACCAGUGACUUUAUUCAAAAAGGUUUUCAUAUAG